Molecule: long non-coding RNA, 624 nt
Organism: Pezoporus occidentalis (night parrot)
Lineage: Eukaryota; Metazoa; Chordata; Aves; Psittaciformes; Psittacidae
Exons: 2
Source: RefSeq, a predicted model, not a curated record
AAAAACUGAGGAGAGCAGUUAAAACACGAUCCACCUACAAGAGGGAAACAUACUUUGUCAGGGAAGCUGUGUACCAGUUAUUCUCAAGCCAGAUGCUGCAGGGUUGCUAUAAGAGGUGGUUUUUUUCCAUUUGGAAGCGGCUGUUCCUUCCUUCUUGCUGGAAGCCACCUGACCACUGCCAGGAAGAGGAAUGCAAAACAUUCCCAGGAGCAGCUCCUGACGUCAGGGAGGCAGCAUUCCUCCUCCUCCUCCUCCUCCUCCUCCCCGCCACGGCCCACCACCACCGCCCCGGCGCACAGAGUCCAGGCCCUGGCCCAGCGGCGCGGUGCCGCCGGCAGCUGCCGCCUGCCCUGAGUCACGCCGUGAGCUCCUCGCCAUUUAAAGCUAGAGACGGCGACGGCAGCCAUCAAGGUCUUGGUCCUGCAGAAAUGGUGUUUAUCUAAGAGAUUGUCUAUCGCUCCUGCUGUUUACUUGCUUUCCCCAGGCGUACAGAGCUUAAAUAAACUUAGGAACGGGCGAUGGUGCCCAAGCCAGGCAUUGUUAUGUUAACUCAAGCCACUCUAUGCUCCCCUUCUUCUUGCCCUUAAAUAGGAGUUUCUGCUUUGGAUAAACUUCAGGUCCAUG